Non-coding RNA from Potamilus streckersoni, 77 nucleotides. The record is from the annotation of a GenBank genome assembly. NCBI's taxonomy places the organism in Eukaryota, Metazoa, Mollusca, Bivalvia, Unionida, Unionidae.
GACCACUCUGGUGGCCUAGUGGUUAGAGCUUCCACCUUAAAUGUGGGAGGUUGUGGGUUCGAACCCCAGUAGAGUCA